This 305-nucleotide ribosomal RNA is filed under the name uncultured bacterium. RNAcentral's name for it is "bacterial SSU rRNA". It matches the Rfam family "Bacterial small subunit ribosomal RNA", at positions 335 to 633 of the family's 1533-position model. The record is from RNAcentral.
GUCCUACGGGAGGCAGCAGUAGGGAAUCUUCCCCAAUGGGCGAAAGCCUGAUGGAGCAACGCCGCGUGGGUGAAGAAGGUCUUCGGAUCGUAAAACCCUGUUGUUAGAGAAGAAAGUGCGUGAGAGUAACUGUUCACGUUUCGACGGUAUCUACCCAGAAAGCCACGGCUAACUACGUGCCAGCAGCCGCGGUAAUACGUAGGUGGCGAGCGUUAUCCGGAUUUAUUGGGCGUAAUGAGAACGCAGGCGGCCUUUUAAGUCUGAUGUGUAAGCCUUCGGCUUAACCGGAGUAGUGCAUUGGAAAC